Molecule: non-coding RNA, 100 nt
Organism: Apis mellifera (honey bee)
Lineage: Eukaryota; Metazoa; Arthropoda; Insecta; Hymenoptera; Apidae
Gene: Mir13a
Product: microRNA 13a
Exons: 1
Source: RefSeq, marked provisional
ACCGAAAUGAAAAUACCUUUUGCGGUCCGAUACAUCAAAUUGGUUGUGGAAUGUUUCGAGUCAUAUCACAGCCAUUUUGAUGAGCUUGGCCCGCAGAAUC